GACGAACGCUGGCGGCGUGCUUAACACAUGCAAGUCGAGCGGAAAGGCCCUGCUUUUGUGGGGUGCUCGAGUGGCGAACGGGUGAGUAACACGUGAGUAACCUGCCCUUGACUUUGGGAUAACUUCAGGAAACUGGGGCUAAUACCGGAUAGGAGCUCCUGCUGCAUGGUGGGGGUUGGAAAGUUUCGGCGGUUGGGGAUGGACUCGCGGCUUAUCAGCUUGUUGGUGGGGUAGUGGCUUACCAAGGCUUUGACGGGUAGCCGGCCUGAGAGGGUGACCGGCCACAUUGGGACUGAGAUACGGCCCAGACUCCUACGGGAGGCAGCAGUGGGGAAUAUUGCACAAUGGGCGGAAGCCUGAUGCAGCAACGCCGCGUGCGGGAGGACGGCCUUCGGGUUGUAAACCGCUUUCGCCUGUGACGAAGCGUGAGUGACGGUAAUGGGUAAAGAAGCACCGGCUAACUACGUG
RNAcentral lists this ribosomal RNA (468 nucleotides) under uncultured bacterium. RNAcentral's name for it is "partial 16S ribosomal RNA". It matches the Rfam family "Bacterial small subunit ribosomal RNA", at positions 28 to 507 of the family's 1533-position model. The record is from RNAcentral.